Molecule: unclassified non-coding RNA, 329 nt
Filed under: soil metagenome
Description: partial contains 5.8S ribosomal RNA, internal transcribed spacer 2, and large subunit ribosomal RNA
Rfam family: 5.8S ribosomal RNA (bases 1-120)
Source: RNAcentral
GAUGAAGAACGUAGUGAAAUGCGAUAAGUAGUGUGAAUUGCAGAAUUCAGUGAAUCAUCGAAUCUUUGAACGCACAUUGCGCCCCUUGGUAUCCCGAGGGGCAUGCCUGUUCGAGCGUCAUUUCACCACUCAAGCCUGGCUUGGUGUUGGGCGACGUCCUCUUUGGGGACGCGCCUCGAAACGCUCGGCGGCGUGGCACCGGCGUUAAGCGUAGCAGAAUCUUUCGCUUUGGAAGUCGGGGCCCCGUCUGCCGGAAGACCUGCUCGCAAGGUUGACCUCGGAUCAGGCAGGGAUACCCGCUGAACUUAAGCAUAUCAAUAAGCGGAGGA